UGGGGGCCCCGCCUUACCCAUGGCAAGUCGAGCGGAGCGAGGGUGCUUGCACCUUAGCUUAGCGGCGGACGGGUGAGUAAUGCUUAGGAAUCUGCCUAUUAGUGGGGGACAACAUUCCGAAAGGGAUGCUAAUACCGCAUACGCCCUACGGGGGAAAGCAGGGGAUCUUCGGACCUUGCGCUAAUAGAUGAGCCUAAGUCGGAUUAGCUAGUUGGUGGGGUAAAGGCCUACCAAGGCGACGAUCUGUAGCGGGUCUGAGAGGAUGAUCCGCCACACUGGGACUGAGACACGGCCCAGACUCCUACGGGAGGCAGCAGUGGGGAAUAUUGGACAAUGGGGGGAACCCUGAUCCCGCCAUGCCGCGUGUGUGAAGAAGGCCUUUUGGUUGUAAAGCACUUUAAGCC
This 404-nucleotide ribosomal RNA is filed under the name Acinetobacter tandoii. Its description in RNAcentral is "bacterial SSU rRNA". It matches the Rfam family "Bacterial small subunit ribosomal RNA", at positions 37 to 441 of the family's 1533-position model. The record is from RNAcentral. Lineage: Bacteria; Pseudomonadati; Pseudomonadota; Gammaproteobacteria; Moraxellales; Moraxellaceae.